GGUGGGGAUUAGUGGCGAACGGGUGAGUAACACGUGGGCAAUCUGCCCUGCACUCUGGGACAAGCCCUGGAAACGGGGUCUAAUACCGGAUACUGACCCUUGCAGGCAUCUGCGAGGUUCGAAAGCUCCGGCGGUGCAGGAUGAGCCCGCGGCCUAUCAGCUUGUUGGUGAGGUAAUGGCUCACCAAGGCGACGACGGGUAGCCGGCCUGAGAGGGCGACCGGCCACACUGGGACUGAGACACGGCCCAGACUCCUACGGGAGGCAGCAGUGGGGAAUAUUGCACAAUGGGCGAAAGCCUGAUGCAGCGACGCCGCGUGAGGGAUGACGGCCUUCGGGUUGUAAACCUCUUUCAGCAGGGAAGAAGCGAAAGUGACGGUACCUGCAGAAGAAGCGCCGGCUAACUACGUGCCAGCAGCCGCGGUAAUACGUAGGGCGCAAGCGUUGUCCGGAAUUAUUGGGCGUAAAGAGCUCGUAGGCGGCUUGUCGCGUCGGUUGUGAAAGCCCGGGGCUUAACCCCGGGUCUGCAGUCGAUACGGGCAGGCUAGAGUUCGGUAGGGGAGAUCGGAAUUCCUGGUGUAGCGGUGAAAUGCGCAGAUAUCAGGAGGAACACCGGUGGCGAAGGCGGAUCUCUGGGCCGAUACUGACGCUGAGGAGCGAAAGCGUGGGGAGCGAACAGGAUUAGAUACCCU
Molecule: ribosomal RNA, 691 nt
Filed under: Streptomyces sp.
Lineage: Bacteria; Bacillati; Actinomycetota; Actinomycetes; Kitasatosporales; Streptomycetaceae
Description: bacterial SSU rRNA
Rfam family: Bacterial small subunit ribosomal RNA
Source: RNAcentral